Molecule: ribosomal RNA, 494 nt
Filed under: uncultured bacterium
Lineage: Bacteria
Description: partial 16S ribosomal RNA
Rfam family: Bacterial small subunit ribosomal RNA
Source: RNAcentral
UGAACGCUGGCGGCGUGCCUAAUACAUGCAAGACGAGCGAACAGAUGAGGAGCUUGCUCCUCUGACGUUAGCGGCGGACGGGUGAGUAACACGUGGAUAACCUACCUAUAAGACUGGGAUAACUUCGGGAAACCGGAGCUAAUACCGGAUAAUAUAUUGAACCGCAUGGUUCAAUAGUGAAAGACGGUUUUGCUGUCACUUAUAGAUGGAUCCGCGCCGCAUUAGCUAGUUGGUAAGGUAACGGCUUACCAAGGCAACGAUGCGUAGCCGACCUGAGAGGGGGGUCGCCAACACGGAAGCGGAGCCGCGGCCCAGCCCCCGAGGGGGGGAGCAGGGAGGGAAUCUUCGGAAAGGGGCGAAGGCUUGAGGGAGCACGGCGGGGGGAGGGAGGAGGGUUGUCGGAGCGUAAAACUUUUUUAUAGGGAAAAAAAAAAGGGGAAAGUAACUAUGCACGUUUGGAGGGAACUUAAUAAAAAGGCCGGGGUAAGCUAGGG